RNAcentral lists this ribosomal RNA (1346 nucleotides) under uncultured bacterium. Its description in RNAcentral is "partial 16S ribosomal RNA". It matches the Rfam family "Bacterial small subunit ribosomal RNA", at positions 28 to 1381 of the family's 1533-position model. The record is from RNAcentral.
GACGAACGCUGGCGGCGUGCUUAACACAUGCAAGUCGAACGGAAAGGCCCUGCUUUUGUGGGGUGCUCGAGUGGCGAACGGGUGAGUAACACGUGAGUAACCUGCCCUUGACUUUGGGAUAACUUCAGGAAACUGGGGCUAAUACCGGAUAGGAGCUCCUGCUGCAUGGUGGGGGUUGGAAAGUUUCGGCGGUUGGGGAUGGACUCGCGGCUUAUCAGCUUGUUGGUGGGGUAGUGGCUUACCAAGGCUUUGACGGGUAGCCGGCCUGAGAGGGUGACCGGCCACAUUGGGACUGAGAUACGGCCCAGACUCCUACGGGAGGCAGCAGUGGGGAAUAUUGCACAAUGGGCGGAAGCCUGAUGCAGCAACGCCGCGUGCGGGAUGACGGCCUUCGGGUUGUAAACCGCUUUCGUCUGUGACGAAGCGUGAGUGACGGUAAUGGGUAAAGAAGCACCGGCUAACUACGUGCCAGCAGCCGCGGUGAUACGUAGGGUGCGAGCGUUGUCCGGAUUUAUUGGGCGUAAAGGGCUCGUAGGUGGUUGAUCGCGUCGGAAGUGUAAUCUUGGGGCUUAACCCUGAGCGUGCUUUCGAUACGGGUUGACUUGAGGAAGGUAGGGGAGAAUGGAAUUCCUGGUGGAGCGGUGGAAUGCGCAGAUAUCAGGAGGAACACCAGUGGCGAAGGCGGUUCUCUGGGCCUUUCCUGACGCUGAGGAGCGAAAGCGUGGGGAGCGAACAGGCUUAGAUACCCUAGUAGUCCACGCUGUAAACGGUGGGUACUAGGUGUGGGGUCCAUUCCACGGGUUCCGUGCCGUAGCUAACGCUUUAAGUACCCCGCCUGGGGAGUACGGCCGCAAGGCUAAAACUCAAAGGAAUUGACGGGGCCCCGCACAAGCGGCGGAGCAUGCGGAUUAAUUCGAUGCAACGCGUAGAACCUUACCUGGGUUUGACAUGGAUCGGGAGUGCUCAGAGAUGGGUGUGCCUCUUUUGGGGUCGGUUCACAGGUGGUGCAUGGCUGUCGUCAGCUCGUGUCGUGAGAUGUUGGGUUAAGUCCCGCAACGAGCGCAACCCCUGUUCACUGUUGCCAGCACGUUAUGGUGGGGACUCAGUGGAGACCGCCGGGGUCAACUCGGAGGAAGGUGGGGAUGACGUCAAGUCAUCAUGCCCCUCAUGUCCAGGGCUUCACGCAUGCUACAAUGGCUGGUACAGAGAGUGGCGAGCCUGUGAGGGUGAGCGAAUCUCGGAAAGCCGGUCUCAGUUCGGAUUGGGGUCUGCAACUCGACCUCAUGAAGUCGGAGUCGCUAGUAAUCGCAGAUCAGCAACGCUGCGGUGAAUACGUUCCCGGAGCU